GAUGAACGCUAGCUACAGGCUUAACACAUGCAAGUCGAGGGGCAGCGGGAUUGAAGCUUGCUUCAAUUGCCGGCGACCGGCGCACGGGUGAGUAACGCGUAUCCAACCUUCCGUACACUCAGGGAUAGCCUUUCGAAAGAAAGAUUAAUACCUGAUGGUAUGAUGAGAUUGCAUGAUAGCAUCAUUAAAGAUUUAUCGGUGUACGAUGGGGAUGCGUUCCAUUAGGUAGUAGGCGGGGUAACGGCCCACCUAGCCGACGAUGGAUAGGGGUUCUGAGAGGAAGGUCCCCCCACGAUUGGAACUGAGACACGGUCCAAACUCCUACGGGAGGCAGCAGUGAGGAAUAUUGGUCAAUGGACGAGAGUCUGAACCAGCCAAGUAGCGUGAAGGAUGAAGGUCCUACGGAUUGUAAAACUUCUUUAUAAGGGAUAAACCCUCCACGUGUGGAGCUUGUAUGUACCUUAUGAAUAAGCAUCGGCUAACUCCGUGCCAGCAGCCG
RNAcentral lists this ribosomal RNA (499 nucleotides) under uncultured bacterium. Its description in RNAcentral is "bacterial SSU rRNA". It matches the Rfam family "Bacterial small subunit ribosomal RNA", at positions 28 to 517 of the family's 1533-position model. The record is from RNAcentral.